RNAcentral lists this transfer RNA (58 nucleotides) under Furcifer balteatus. RNAcentral's name for it is "tRNA-Ser". The record is from RNAcentral. Lineage: Eukaryota; Metazoa; Chordata; Lepidosauria; Squamata; Chamaeleonidae.
GAAAGGAGCACAAGAACUGCUAACUCCUACCACUGAUACUAAAACAUCAGCCCUUUCU